This 421-nucleotide ribosomal RNA is filed under the name uncultured Actinomycetes bacterium. RNAcentral's name for it is "bacterial SSU rRNA". It matches the Rfam family "Bacterial small subunit ribosomal RNA", at positions 9 to 424 of the family's 1533-position model. The record is from RNAcentral. Lineage: Bacteria; Bacillati; Actinomycetota; Actinomycetes.
GAGUUUGAUCUUGGCUCAGAACGAACGCUGGCGGCGUGCUUAACACAUGCAAGUGGAGCGACGAACCAGGCUUCGGCCUGGGGCAGAGCCGCGAACGGGUGAGUAACACGUGGGUAACCCACCCCGAUGACCGGGACAACCCGAGGAAACUCGGGCUAAUACCGGAUGUACUCCUCUCCCAUGAGGGAGACGAGGAAAGAUAGCUUCGGCCUUCGCAUCGGGACGGGCCCGCGGCGCAUUAGCUUGUUGGUGGGGUAAUGGCCUACCAAGGCGACGAUGCGUAGCUGGUCUGAGAGGACGAUCAGCCACACUGGGACUGAGACACGGCCCAGACUCCUACGGGAGGCAGCAGUGGGGAAUUUUGGACAAUGGGGGCAACCCUGAUCCAGCCAUGCCGCGUGUGUGAAGAAGGCCUCGGUUC